AGGUUGUAUCAGAACUUCUCCAGCUACUUCAGGGGUCAGCACAGAAGCGACCUGGGUCAUCUCCAGGAAAUGGACUGGGUUUGCCGCAAUUUAUUUCUUUCCUGGCUCAGCAGGAUAAUCCUACACAGAAAAUGACGCGGUCGUCUUCAAGACAGUCUAUCACCUCGACUAUGGCCUCUACACCAAGAAAAUACUCAGUUAG
Eurytemora carolleeae is the source of this 202-nucleotide long non-coding RNA. RefSeq lists it as uncharacterized. Lineage: Eukaryota; Metazoa; Arthropoda; Copepoda; Calanoida; Temoridae. The transcript has 3 exons. The record is from RefSeq and is a predicted model, not a curated record.